Molecule: small RNA, 58 nt
Filed under: Sinorhizobium meliloti 2011
Lineage: Bacteria; Pseudomonadati; Pseudomonadota; Alphaproteobacteria; Hyphomicrobiales; Rhizobiaceae
Description: putative ncRNA
Source: RNAcentral
AUUCUAUUGCAAAGUUGGCCAACGGCAAGCUAUUUUGUCGAGGGGACGGCAACGGCAC